Oxyura jamaicensis (ruddy duck) is the source of this 372-nucleotide long non-coding RNA. RefSeq lists it as uncharacterized. The record is from RefSeq and is a predicted model, not a curated record. The transcript has 2 exons. NCBI's taxonomy places the organism in Eukaryota, Metazoa, Chordata, Aves, Anseriformes, Anatidae.
UCCAUCUCAAAGCUUUGAUGGAAGCAGGGCAAAUGCUCUAAAUCUGUGAGGCCUGCUGACAAAAAGGAUAAGGAAGACUAAAGGUUUUAAAAGCAGGCCGUGAGGGAAACCAAACACCUCUGUUUCCUUCUUUUUUAUCCUCAUUUUUUUCCACAAUCUGGUUUUUCCCUAUAAAUAAAAAAAUCAGGAAGAGCUGAGUGGUGAGAGCAGAAAUAAACUACCACGUUCUAGUCUAUGUACUGACCAGCCAGGAGAUCAUCCUUCAACAUACAUAUAUGCACUCAGUUUACAGGUCCAAAAGACACAAAGUAAAAGAAGGCUAUGACUCAGAUGAACUCGAACUCCAACCUUUGGGCCCACCUGGCCCUGCAG